UGGUGGAGCUGCUGGUGCAUCACGGG
Molecule: non-coding RNA, 26 nt
Filed under: Homo sapiens (human)
Lineage: Eukaryota; Metazoa; Chordata; Mammalia; Primates; Hominidae
Source: RNAcentral